Molecule: long non-coding RNA, 1220 nt
Organism: Gadus macrocephalus (Pacific cod)
Lineage: Eukaryota; Metazoa; Chordata; Actinopteri; Gadiformes; Gadidae
Exons: 2
Source: RefSeq, a predicted model, not a curated record
CCCUCCUCCUCCUCCUCCCCCAACUCCGGUCCAACCUCGCCUGCACCCGCCUGCCCCCCCGUCCCGUCCCGCGGCGCCCCCCUCUCGCCACGGGCGGCGCGGGGUGGGCAGAGAGGGGGGAGGUUCGAAUCCCUGCUCCCCUUCCUUGUUGCACCGCGUGUCGGCCCAGAUGGAGAGCCCAGGGAGGGAGGCCAGGGAGUUACGGGCCAGGCGGAGGCCUGUUCCGCGCAUGCCCCGCCUCCCCCCGCUGCGUCCAAUCACCAGCCUCAGCUUCACGCGCAGCUUUACCUUUUCCUUUUUCGAGCUGCCGGUCCACCAGACGGCCAGCUGUCGCGCCGAGCGGGUCCGCCACGUCAUGCUCCUGCUGAGGCAGAUGCAGUACUGAGCCCUGGGUUGGCUCUCCCUCUCUCUGUGGGUCACAGUGGGGCUUGUACCAGGGUCGAGGUUUCACAUCAACGUUAGCUUUUGGUGGGGGUCUCCAAAUCAGAUGCUAACAAGACAACCCUGUUAUCCAUCGCCUGUCUCCCAGUGUUAGACCCCCCCCCCCCCCCCCCAAGUCUCACGGUCAGACUUUAGCAAUGCUUGUGAGUGACUGUGCGUCUGUCUGUCUGUCUGUCUGUCUGUCUGUCUGUCUGUCUGUGGUGCGUACGUGUGCCUGCAAACCUUUUAAUCCUACUGGAUAAUAUAUAAAUGAAUGCCUUAGUUAAAAUGAACAUAAUUACUAAACAUGAACACCAUUAGAAAAUCUUUAAUCGUCCAGUAGUUAACUUUCAAUAAACAAAUUAUUAGUUAAUGCUUUUUACUGUCGAAUAAAUGUUUAAUAAAGGUAUAUUAAUCGGUAACCCUUCCUUUUACAGUCCCCUAAUUACUAGGUAUUUACCUGGUAAAUAUAUGGUAAAUCAUAGAUAUUAUUGGGUAAUUACCACUGGUAAUAAUAAGGUAAAUACAGAGGAACUACAGCUGAAGAAAAACCUCCACUAUUGCCCAUCAACUCAACUAAGUACCGUGUAUUUGUAACUGUUUUAAGUUGGUAAUAACUCAGAUAUAAUUGUGUACUUCAUAGGAAAGUAAGCAACCAAUUCUUAGAAACAACUCUUCUAUUACCCAUCAAUUCAAGUUACAACUGUAGUUAUCCAAGGUUUAUGUUGGUAACAGCCAAAGUCUAAUUAUGUACUAUCUAGAAAUUAACAUAGUACUUUCCAAUAAAUUACUUUUUCUUA